RNAcentral lists this ribosomal RNA (253 nucleotides) under uncultured bacterium. RNAcentral's name for it is "partial 16S ribosomal RNA". It matches the Rfam family "Bacterial small subunit ribosomal RNA", at positions 524 to 776 of the family's 1533-position model. The record is from RNAcentral.
UACGAGGGGUGCAAGCGUUGCUCGGAAUUAUUGGGCGUAAAGGGUAGGUAGGUGGUCUCAUUUGUCUGGGGUGAAAGCCUUGAGCUUAACUCAAGAAGUGCCCCAGAAACGGUGAGACUGGAGUCUUGGAGAGGGUCGUGGAAUUCCCGGUGUAGCGGUGAAAUGCGUAGAGAUCGGGAGGAACACCAGAGGCGAAGGCGGCGACCUGGACAGGUACUGACACUCAACUACGAAAGCGUGGGGAGCAAACAGG